This 4215-nucleotide long non-coding RNA is filed under the name Bemisia tabaci. Its description in RNAcentral is "lncRNA ENSASIAIIG005174". Lineage: Eukaryota; Metazoa; Arthropoda; Insecta; Hemiptera; Aleyrodidae. The record is from RNAcentral.
UCAUGAUUUGAUGAUUUCUUUAUUUAAUCUCUUUUCAGAAUACGAAAAAAUUUAGAGCGAGAAAACAUUGUGUCUCUAGAUAAAGUUGUAGCAAAAGCGUGGGAACCCAUCCCUUUGGACAAAGGCAAUCCGAUUCGGCUUUUGGUAUAACAAAGAGUAUACGAGUUAGAUACAAAUGAUUCGUCUAGUUUGAGAAAAAAGAAGAAUAGAGGAAAGACAGACACAGAGUCAGAAACGUUUAUUGUGUCAGAAAUGUUCACAAAGGGUGAAUACUAUCUUAUCAAUGGCCACGGGUUUGAUCCAUGGGUUCUAGCGGAAUUCCACGCGGUACAGAUGAAAAGACUGGAAGACGCUCCCAACAGGAAGAGAAAAAUAUUAGUGUCAUCACAGAAGGCUCACUCAAUCACUCAAUUGGAACACAAGUAGAACACAAGCAGUUUUCGGUCAAGGUGCUAAUCCCUCUGCAUAUAUUCUACCUGUGUCUGCAGUUGUACCAUGCCUAAGUUUUUUUUCCUAUGUCGUCCACUUUUUGGAUGAGCCUCCAAGCUCAACUUAGUUUGUCAUCAGAGGACUCAUGAAAUGCUGUUCCAAAACGUAGAGUUGUAAAGAGGUGAGAUAUUGAACUUGUACAUGUUUCUUUGAACUAUUAUAACAGGGCUUCUGAUGGUCUGUGGAACCUGGAAAGUCAGAAACUUCAUGGGGAGCCUGGACAGUCAAGGAACUAAAGAUUAUGAGCUUUAAGGCCAUCUAUUAUGCUUAUUCAUAAAACUGAAUUCCAUUUUUCUGCUCUAUGAAAAGAAUAUUCUGGAAGAAAUUUAAGCCAGUGUUGGUUUCGUCUCCUUUCAACUUAUAAAAUAGGGGCAGAGAUUUUAAAACACCGCAACCGCAUUUUUACUUUUGAUACGCAACCAAUAAACCACUGUAGCAAGGAAUGUGUUAACAAUAACAACCUACUCUGCUGUGUUACCAAAUCUCUCCCAAUCAAGAAGUAAUUUUUGAGGUAAUUAUGGAAUUUUUUCCCCUCAAAAUUUUCUAUCCAACUAAAAAUUUUAUGUGAAAUUGCAAAUCAUCUUCUCUGUAAAUUGGAAGGAGUAUGUUUGCGAAUUUCCCCCAAAAUUCUCGCUUUUAUCAAGAUAGAUCAGACAACAUAUAAAUGCUCAUAAGGUGUUCUUCUUUACCACAGCAGUAAUCUGCUGUAUUCAUCCGGCUUGAAAUUUAUAUUGUUUUGGUUUUCAGCCGGCAUUAUUAUAGUGGGUUUCCUCUACCACUCAAAGUAGAACACAAGCAUUCUUGUUCAAGGUGCUAAUUCCUGUACAUAAAGCUAAGCAUUGGGGGUUAUACCAUGCCCAACUACCUCACUGUGUUUUCUAGUCUUUGGAGGAGGAUCCAACCUUACUGAACCUGUCGGUAAAGGACUGUGAAAGUACUGGCACUAAACAUCUAGUCAGAAAGUGGUGAAUAAUUGGUCUUGUAUAUGUAUUUUGUAUUCUUCAAAGGGUUUCUGAUGAGCUGCAAAACCUUCAAAAGUCAAGGAAUCAAUGCUGGCUUAGAAAAGUCAGGAAUCUUGAGGUUCUGAACUUGUCGUCUAGCUAAUAUUUACAGUUAUUCCAACGUCAUUUUUUUUAAAACUUCAGUUAUCUUCUGCUCUUUUCAAAGGAUUUUCUUUGAGAAUUUUAGACCACGAUGUUGUUUCGGUAUCCUUUUAAAGAAAUAAAAUAGGAGCAGAAAUUUUUGAUACAAUACAACUGAUAUACGCUUUUUGCAGUUUCACCAUCGCUAUGUACCUAAAACAUUGUGGUAGGCAACUUAUUAACAAUAACUUUUACUACUGUACUGCCUUCCUCCAGCUUGAAAUUUUCAUUGUUUUAUUUUUCAGGAGGUUUCAUUGGAUUUUCUCUAGAACGCAAAGUCGAACACAAGCAGUUCUUGUUUCUGUUCAAGGUAGUAAUUCCUCUACAUAGUGCCUACUAGUGUCGGCGGCUAUAGCAUCCGUAACUUGCUUACUGUGUUUUCUAUUUUUUGAAGACUGAUCUGCCUUCAACUCAGCCAGUCGACAGAGGACUGUUGAAAUACUGACCCAGAACAUCCAGUUGAAAAGAGGUGAGUUCUUGGUCUUGUACCUAUAUUUUAUAAUCUUUACCAUGUUUCCAGUGGUCUGCAGAACCCGGAAAGAGAAGUUAGCGUGUAAUUGAUGUGUAUACAGGUAGAGUCGAAAUAUGUAUUAAAGUGUGAUGUCAUUCCUAAUAGAUGAGAUAUUUCAAAAAGAGAAGAAUGAUUCUCCUUUCUCAUGGCAAGCUAAAAACCUUAAUUUUUUCAUCAUUUACACUUAAUUUGUAUCUGACUAGAGUUUUGAAUAUGGCAAUCAUUUAUUGAGUCUUAAAAAGCCAAGCCACAGUGUGUUUGAGUACAUUUGAAACUGACUGACGUUUGUAUAAAGCACUUCCUAUUUUCGACUUUCACCACCACCCAGUCCAUCCAACAAUCAAUGCAAGAACUUGCAAUCUGCACUGUCCAAAAAGUAUGGAUAGAAUACUUCUAAUUAAGGCAGUGAGAAUGGAAAACUGGGAAAAAUUAAAAUGUUCAGAAGACACCAAAAACUGCACAGUAGGUGAAAUGGUCAGUGUAAGGAAGCUUUUUAGUGCCAAAAAAGGUGUACGGAAAGACACUCAAAACACUUAAUUGAAAUGGAUGCACUGUAAAUACGCAUGGAUGCGCUACCGUGCAGUUUAAUGAGUCCCCUGAACAUUGACAGUUUUCUAAGUUGGCAUUUUUUCAUCCUCACUGAUUCAAUUACAGCCCUCAAAGCAAACAUAAAGACAGGAUUUUGAAGUGAACAUGUUUACUUAGAAAGAAAAUAUUGCUGGGUUAAAGGAGAAUUUUUCCAUUACAAUUUUUUUAUUUAAUCAUUAGCCUAGUUUUACGAAACUAUAACAGGAAAGUACUUUUUUGAUCUAACUAUAGGAAGCUCUGCAAGGGCCAGCGAAAAGGAAAGUAACACCAAAAGAUCCAAAAUGGUGCGGUUAUACCGUUCCAGAAAUUUGUACCCCACAGAGCUCUCAACGCAUCCUAUCGAUAGAGGCUUGUAGCCAUCUACCACGUACUCCCUCUAACCCUGAACGAUUGGCCAGUGCAUCUUGUCUCUGUAUCAGUACACGCUGGAAAAAAUCAAUGUAAUAGGCCCUAAUGAUUUGAUUGAUUCUACCACUAAAGCAGUACAUUUCAGAAUUCAGCUUUUAUUCAGUUUCAAUACAAAAGUUUCUCAGCAAUUCUAAUUAUUUCUAUUUCUGCAUGUUCCAGAUGGGCAAAGAAAAUUUGAAUUCCCAAAUAAAUUGGGAAACAUUGUUGGCUAGUGAAGUGCCAAUCAGCUUUGACUUCAACGUCAUGGAUCAUGUACCUGAUAGUAAUUACACCCGUGUUCUUGUGGAUACCUCUGAUUCUUCUUCGCUUUAAAAUUUUCCGCAAGAUCUACCUUUUCAAGAUCCAGUUGUUGAACUUAACAAAACUAGUUCUUCUGCUCUGCCUCUACAAGACUCAAUUCUUUAAGAUCCAGUUGUUGAUCUUAUCCAACCUACUUCUUCUAGUCUGACUCUACAAGACUCAGUUUUUCAAGACCCUGUUGUUAAGCCUACCAAACCUAGUUCCUCUAUUUUACAAACUUCUUUUUCGUCCCAAAAUUCUGUGCUAAUUGAUUUCUGUUCUAAUUCUGUUAAAAUUGUCAAACAGAUUCAACUAACAACUUCUCUGUAAAAAAAUAAAAGGAGGCCGAAAUUUUUAAAUGUCGUAUGGCGCUUGUAAUACUUUGGCCAGAAGGUGACGAAUGUACCUGUGAUCGAUUCAUUCAAAAUUGUUGAUUUUAUUUUACUUAUUUCACCUUCUUGUCUGAAGGUAUUACUUGAAGAGACAGCCUGUGGAAGGGCGUAUUAUAAAAUUUUUUAUUAUAAAGUUAUUUAUUGAUAAACUAUAAAAUUUCUUAUUCGAACUAUAAAUCUCUGACUUAAUCAACAACUGAAACUCAAUUAUACAGGAACAGUAACUUUGUAUAGUGCAUUUUAUUUUUAGUUCCCUUUUGUGUUCAAUCUUUUUUUCUAAAUCUGAGAGGAAUAAUUUUUAAUUUUUGAUUUUCGCACCUGCAUAUUUAUAAUUUUCGCUGCACAAAAUGCAAUCUGCCUUCUGAUACUGUUUCCGGCUGUUAAUUAAAUCAUAAGCUCUUCUUUG